Molecule: transfer RNA, 74 nt
Filed under: Glaucidium brasilianum (ferruginous pygmy-owl)
Lineage: Eukaryota; Metazoa; Chordata; Aves; Strigiformes; Strigidae
Description: tRNA-Asn
Rfam family: tRNA
About the family: Transfer RNA (tRNA) molecules are approximately 80 nucleotides in length. Their secondary structure includes four short double-helical elements and three loops (D, anti-codon, and T loops). Further hydrogen bonds mediate the characteristic L-shaped molecular structure. tRNAs have two regions of fundamental functional importance: the anti-codon, which is responsible for specific mRNA codon recognition, and the 3' end, to which the tRNAs corresponding amino acid is attached (by aminoacyl-tRNA synthetases). tRNAs cope with the degeneracy of the genetic code in two manners: having more than one tRNA (with a specific anti-codon) for a particular amino acid; and 'wobble' base-pairing, i.e. permitting non-standard base-pairing at the 3rd anti-codon position.
Source: RNAcentral
UAGACAGAAGCCUGUUGGGUUAGGGCACUUGGCUGUUAACCAGGUUGUUAUGGGAUCGAAGCCCAUCUGUCUAG